RNAcentral lists this ribosomal RNA (665 nucleotides) under uncultured Lactobacillus sp. RNAcentral describes it as "bacterial SSU rRNA". It matches the Rfam family "Bacterial small subunit ribosomal RNA", at positions 28 to 649 of the family's 1533-position model. Lineage: Bacteria; Bacillati; Bacillota; Bacilli; Lactobacillales; Lactobacillaceae. The record is from RNAcentral.
GAUGAACGCCGGCGGUGUGCCUAAUACAUGCAAGUCGUACGCACUGGCCCAACUGAUUGAUGGUGCUUGCACCUGAUUGACGAUGGAUCACCAGUGAGUGGCGGACGGGUGAGUAACACGUAGGUAACCUGCCCCGGAGCGGGGGAUAACAUUUGGAAACAGAUGCUAAUACCGCAUAACAACAAAAGCCACAUGGCUUUUCUUUGAAAGAUGGCUUUGGCUAUCACUCUGGGAUGGACCUGCGGUGCAUUAGCUAGUUGGUAAGGUAACGGCUUACCAAGGCGAUGAUGCAUAGCCGAGUUGAGAGACUGAUCGGCCACAAUGGAACUGAGACACGGUCCAUACUCCUACGGGAGGCAGCAGUAGGGAAUCUUCCACAAUGGGCGCAAGCCUGAUGGAGCAACACCGCGUGAGUGAAGAAGGGUUUCGGCUCGUAAAGCUCUGUUGUUGGAGAAGAACGUGCGUGAGAGUAACUGUUCACGCAGUGACGGUAUCCAACCAGAAAGUCACGGCUAACUACGUGCCAGCAGCCGCGGUAAUACGUAGGUGGCAAGCGUUAUCCGGAUUUAUUGGGCGUAAAGCGAGCGCAGGCGGUUGCUUAGGUCUGAUGUGAAAGCCUUCGGCUUAACCGAAGAAGUGCAUCGGAAACCGGGCGACUUGAGUGC